CAGCUUCGCCCGGCAGCCGGCGCUCGGGCACGGACUCGGGCCCCGGUUAACCCUCUAGGGCGCUCUGCCAGCCCCGCACCCCUCCAACCUUCCAUCCCCCGCCUCGCGCGCGUGGGGAUCCACGUGGCUGUCACUUUUGGAGCCGUGCUGGGGGACCUGGACGAUAACUGAGGCCCGAGUCGGAGCGCUGGAGGUCCAGCCGAGAGGGCUUGGCGCAGUCCGCCCGUUAUCUCCGGACGCGCUCAUCCCCCUGCGCUGGCCGUGGUCCCCGCUGUUACCUCUGCAGCAGCCUCUUCUUCCUGCAGUGAGGUUCUUCCUCUCAGCCUCCCUGAGAGCUGGGCCGGCGGCCGCGGCUUUCCCUGCGCAGAGGACCUGAGCAGGCUGUUGGGACAUUGCCAAGCCGACCAAAGAGACGUGACUGCCUCAAAGACCGCCGGCGCAGGGUGGCCCUGGGAAGGAGGGACACAGGCAAAGGGUGUAAAGUACGGACUAACUUCCCUACAAAGCGGAUAUUCAAAAUGAACAACUGCCUUCAGAGAAAGCAGAAAGCCACUAAAGCAGAUGCUUGAAAUCUUUGCUGGAGGCCUUGUAAAAAGUUAUGCACUUGUCUUAGUUCUUUUGAGGAAUCUGGAGGUAAAGAACACAAAGCGAAAGAGACAAGAGACAGUGACAGACUGAACCAUUGGAGAAUAUAGCCCAGAGGUGGGAUGAGAGAAGGCCUCACUGGGCUGUGCUGGGCUGUCUAGGCUGCAACUAGCUUCCCUGCCCCAGCCCAUAAAGCUGCAACAAGACUGAUUAGAAAUGAUACAAUUAGACUCAGGUGAUUAGUUCAAGUAGAAGCAAAGUUCAUCAGUCUUAAAUCUCCAAAUCUGCUCCAUAUCUGUUCUCAGCUGAUAUCCCUGGGCUAGCCUCUGUGUCUUCUUGUCCUCUCUGAUCUGUGCCAGUGGAGGAGACAUGGAACUUUUGCGACAAGUUGAACAACAGUGAUCCUCAGUAAUGAGGUUUCACAGGCCAGCCUGGGCAGAUCCAGUUGGAUGUGGAUUUGAGUCUUAGCCACACUCUUUCCUUCUGCAAUGCCAGGUACAUACCCCCACAAAUCUGGAAGCUGGAGUUUCAAGUUCAUGGUUGUGAUCUAGACAUUAGCAACUUAGAAGGCUCCAGCACAACUUUUGCUCCAAGUCUGCUUUGGCCACCGGAUGAAGAAUCCGGCUCCUCCCAGAAGAAGCUCCUCACCAUGGCUCCCAUGAGGAUUUUAUGGCCGGUUGCACAAGAGAGACAAAGGGCGUCUUUAAAUUACACAAUCCCCAGCAUACAGCCUUGGUCCCAUUGGUUGAUUUUUCUAUUUUCCCCAUGGUUCUCCUUGAUUGCUUUGCCUCUGGGACUUUUCCCCUUUGACCCAGCCUUUUGGAGCUUCUUAAUUCUUCCUGUUCUUGUCC
This 1436-nucleotide long non-coding RNA is filed under the name Heterocephalus glaber (naked mole-rat). RNAcentral's name for it is "lncRNA (ENSHGLG00000026469.2)". The record is from RNAcentral. Lineage: Eukaryota; Metazoa; Chordata; Mammalia; Rodentia; Bathyergidae.